UACGUAGGUGGCAAGCGUUAUCCGGAUUUAUUGGGUUUAAAGGGUGCGUAGGCUGUAAGGUAAGUCAGCGGUGAAAUUUUGGUGCUCAACACCAAACGUGCCGUUGAUACUGCUGAGCUAGAGAGUAGUUGCGGUAGGCGGAAUGUAUGGUGUAGCGGUGAAAUGCGUAGAUAUUAGGAGGAACACCAGUGGCGAAGGCGGCUUACUGGACGAUGACUGACGCUGAGGCUCGAAAGCGUGGGGAGCAAACAGG
Molecule: ribosomal RNA, 253 nt
Filed under: uncultured bacterium
Lineage: Bacteria
Description: partial 16S ribosomal RNA
Rfam family: Bacterial small subunit ribosomal RNA
Source: RNAcentral